This 268-nucleotide ribosomal RNA is filed under the name uncultured bacterium. Its description in RNAcentral is "partial 16S ribosomal RNA". It matches the Rfam family "Bacterial small subunit ribosomal RNA", at positions 77 to 339 of the family's 1533-position model. The record is from RNAcentral.
AUGCGGAUUUUCCCUCGAGUGGCAGACGGGUGAGUAACACGUGGGUAAUCUACCUCAGAGCCUGGAAUAACGUUUGGAAACGAACGCUAAAUACCGGAUAAUUCAUAUUUAGAUAACUAGAUAUGCUAAAAGGAGCUUCGGCUUCACUUUGAGAUGAGCUUGCGGUGCAUUAGCUAGUUGGUGGGGCAAUGGCCUACCAAGGCAACGAUGCAUAGCCGGACUGAGAGGUCGAUCGGCCACAUUGGAAUUGAGAUACGGUCCAAACUCC